ACGGAAGGCAGCAGUGGGGAAUAUUGCACAAUGGGCGAAAGCCUGAUGCAGCGACGCCGCGUGAGUGAAGAAGUAUCUCGGUAUGUAAAGCUCUAUCAGCAGGGAAGAAAAUGACGGUACCUGACUAAGAAGCCCCGGCUAACUACGUGCCAGCAGCCGCGGUAAUACGUAGGGGGCAAGCGUUAUCCGGAUUUACUGGGUGUAAAGGGAGCGUAGACGGUUUGGCAAGUCUGAAGUGAAAUGCGGGGGCUCAACUCCUGAACUGCUUUGGAAACUGUCGAACUAGAUUGCAGGAGAGGUAAGUGGAAUUCCUAGUGUAGCGGUGAAAUGCGUAGAUAUUAGGAGGAACACCAGUGGCGAAGGCGGCUUACUGGACUGUAACUGACGUUGAGGCUCGAAAGCGUGGGGAGCAAACAGGAUUAGAUACCCUGGUA
Molecule: ribosomal RNA, 434 nt
Filed under: uncultured Lachnospiraceae bacterium
Lineage: Bacteria; Bacillati; Bacillota; Clostridia; Lachnospirales; Lachnospiraceae
Description: partial 16S ribosomal RNA
Rfam family: Bacterial small subunit ribosomal RNA
Source: RNAcentral